AUGUGUUGCUGAUUAGUCAUUAAAUAAAACACUGAUUGGCCAUUGGCUAGGCAGGAAGUGUAGGCGGGACAAGGAGGAGAAUAAAGCUGGGAAGUGGAAGGCUGAGUCAGAGAGACGCUGCCAGCCACCACAAUGAGAAACAGAAUGUGAAGAUACCGAUCUGUUUGGAGCGGCACCUGGAGGAAGCCAGAAGUACUCAGGGGCCCUGACUCUUCAAGAGAAACCCUGGGUGGGCGGCCCCUGGUCCCAUUCCUCCCUUCUGCAUGUGUGGUUGUUUGGGGAACAGUUCCUGGGGAAUGGGUGGCUCUCCAGAUGGUCAGAGAGGAAAUCAGAGAAGUUUCAUGUACUCCAUCUGCCUGUGUGUACCAUGCCCACCAUCCCCAGCCCCCAGCCCGCCCAGAGCCUCCAGUUCCCACAGACAGAUGCCUUUGAACAAGCCCCCUCUUCACUCUCCUGGGAGCCCCAUUUUCCCAGCUGGCCAGCUGUCAAGCCCAUGAGCUACUGGUUCUGCGUCAUCACGUGCUCCAGGCCAGAUGGUACCUGUCAACAUCAGCUGCCAUGCUGCUAUGACGGGCAGCAGCCUCACACAUGUCCCUGUGCGUAAGAGGUACGGCCUGGCCCAGCUUCACUCCCUCUCUGCCCUACUCUGCACCCCACCCUAAUGCCGUCACCACCCUGCCUACAUGUGUCCUCAACAUGCCCCCACAGGGAGACACUCUGUGCUCUAGCUGCAGAGGGGAAGGCCCACGGAGUAUUCUCAGCACCUGGCAAGCCGUGGGAGCUGAAUAAAGGUUAAUCAUGAGCAUGGCA
This is a long non-coding RNA of Peromyscus californicus insignis, 810 nucleotides long. RefSeq lists it as uncharacterized. The transcript has 2 exons. NCBI's taxonomy places the organism in Eukaryota, Metazoa, Chordata, Mammalia, Rodentia, Cricetidae. The record is from RefSeq and is a predicted model, not a curated record.